This 168-nucleotide ribosomal RNA is filed under the name Triticum aestivum (bread wheat). RNAcentral describes it as "partial small subunit ribosomal RNA". The record is from RNAcentral. Lineage: Eukaryota; Viridiplantae; Streptophyta; Magnoliopsida; Poales; Poaceae.
AUGUACGAGGCUCCGUCGGCGCAGGAGAUGUCCUACAUGGACCACGUGCAGAGGCGCCACGAGGAGAAGGGCUGCAUCUACGCAUGCGUGUUCACGGCGCUGUGCUGCUUCUGCUGCUACGAGACCUGCGAGUGCUGCCUCGACUGCCUCUGCUGCUGCUGCAACUAA